Molecule: long non-coding RNA, 649 nt
Filed under: Equus asinus (donkey)
Lineage: Eukaryota; Metazoa; Chordata; Mammalia; Perissodactyla; Equidae
Description: lncRNA (ENSEASG00005027034.1)
Source: RNAcentral
AGAUGAACCAGGGCCAACGGAGGAAGGCUGCCUGCUGACAGCUGCCAUUUCCACAGACUCACUGGGCCAAAGUGAUAGCCAACACUGAGAAGAAGAAUCCAGUGUCCAGAUUUUUCAAAGGGCUGCAGAAGUCUUGUUCUGCUGGAUAUAUAUUUUUAAGUUAGAGCUUGUUGAACAACAGAAGAUUAUAGGACCAGCCAGAGACUCAAGGAGAGCCAAUGGGGGUAUUAUGUUUUUGGAUUUAGCUAACCACUGACUGGAGGAACUGAGACAGCAUACAGUGGCAAAGCCUUUGACAAAUAUUCAGUCGGCACUACCUUCACAGAAAUCAUGCACGGAGAUGCCAUGGCAACUGCCGCAUUCUGCACAGUCACACACGAAAUCAACACGCUUAAAUAACUGUAACUCACGCCCACGCUGUUCUAAGAAGGACACAUCUUCUGGAAUAUUCUGUCCAAAAUUCAUAACCCGAGUUUGAUCAUGAAGAAAGAUCUCCCAACCCACGCUACAAAAUAACCGGAGGGCUGACAAGAGAAAGAAGACAGAAUUAGGUCAUUCCCUCUUGAUGACAGAACUAUAACAAGUGACAAAGUGAAAUUAGCUUCUCUUGCAAAAUGAAUAAGCAUGAUUUUUCUGUGGUCAUUUUCAC